Long non-coding RNA from Lepisosteus oculatus (spotted gar), 2445 nucleotides. RefSeq lists it as uncharacterized. The record is from RefSeq and is a predicted model, not a curated record. NCBI's taxonomy places the organism in Eukaryota, Metazoa, Chordata, Actinopteri, Semionotiformes, Lepisosteidae.
AUAUUAAAACGUGACAUAUCUCUAUAUACAGCAUGCGCUUUCCUGGAUUGGGUAACAGGCUUGUGCAUGGUAGGGUUGGAUUUUUUAAGGAGAACUGACCACAAAGGAUUGACCAGCGAUAGAAGCCAUCAGACAUGUGCUGGUGGCCAAAGAGAUUAGCCUACGUUUGUUUCUCUGCUGCUCAGUCUUGCACUGAAACCCGUAGCGUUCGUAUGGAUCAGUGAACUGGAAAUCGAUGUGGAAUGAACCUCUACUAGUUCCCAGGCAAAUGUAUAAAUAGUUCAGUUUUGCAAACACAAGGAAGAGUUGGUGGAUUACGGCAUCAAGGACUGACAACUGGAAAAGAAGGUGGUGGAAUAGAAAAGAAAAGGUGGCAUUAUCUGUACGUCAAGAGCUGAGAGAGAUCAAUGCUGAAAGAGAGUUAGUAGAACAGUAAAGCUGACUGAUCACAACAUCACUCAUAACAAAUCUUCUGUCAAGAGCUGAGAAUGGUAUAUUUCAUUGUUCAGGAGGUAACUGUAAUGUGACAUAGCAGUAAUAUGCAGAUUUUUAUUGUAUUGAUGAUGAAAACCAGCAGAUGAAUCUCAGAAGAGGUUUGCAAAAAUCAAUCUUAAACAACGCAGCAACAGUUUUACGAUGUAAGCUGGCGUGCUUUCAUUUGCUCACAGAUGUUUUUGUUAUUGCGUCUGCUUUUCUUCUCUUUAAUUGUUCUCUUUGCUGUAAUGAUAGCAAGGACUACAUUAAAAAUACCUGUGGUCGGAAAAAGCAAAGCUUCUGCCAGUGCAACCACCCCUCCUAGUGGUUAAAAUAGACAUAGCAUUUAAACGCCCAUGAUUUUGCAUCUACAGUAUACGGAUCACUCUAUUGUUCCUUUAGCUGUUGUUACAGUAGUUGUUUUUAUUAUUAAUUGUCAUAACUGCUGCCAGACUUUUCAUGAAAAUCUAAAAUUCCCACACAGAGGUCAAAUACAAUAUGACUUUGCAGAACUAUAACCCAAAUUAAGAGUGGAGUAUUUUUCACUCACACCCUCAGCAACAGUUGUUUUACAAUCUAGGUUAUUGCAACAACACUGCAGACAGCAAAAUGAGUUUGGAGGAAAGCCAACGAUGAGACAUAAAAAAAUAAGGUUUAAAGGUGUUUCCUAAAGUAAUUAUUCCAUGUUGACACAUAUAAUGUGGAAGUUGUAGUGAAUAAAAGUUUAGUAACUUUUAAUGCACCUGAAGUUGCCUCAUUCCCCUGAAAUGUACAGACCCAAGAUUUGUCUGUCUGCAAAUCUUGUUUGUAUCACGACAUAACUCUGAGAUAAAAGUGUUCUAGCAUCUUCAUUUCCUCUGAUCUCGAGAUUUUCUUAGUCCUCAACCAAAUGUAUUCUUUACUUAUUCAGGAAAACUGACUGCAACUUUAUUACGCAGUUUCUGUUUUUGACUUUUGAAAAAAAUUCUCUCAUUUCUCUCAUUGCAGCUAUCCUCAGGUGAGAAAUUCAACUGCGAAAUGGCAACCGAUAGUCCAAAACUUAGCCAUUUUUUAGCAGUUUGCUAGUUGUGCAAAUAAUAAUAUUCUUCCAGAGUAAAUCUAAACUGUUUCAAAAGAGGUUUAAAAAACUAUAUAAAAUAGGGCUGUACAAGAUAUUAAAAACAAAAAAAACUUACUAAAUAAGGAGGUAAAUGAGAUAACAUAAGACAUAGCAAGAGGAGUAGGAAGAAAUUUCACUAUUGUAGAUUAAUACAUAUGUUUAUUUCCUAAUUUCACCCAUGUAAACUAAUGCAAGUCUAGUUCAUAUUAAUCCUGACUCAUGGAAAAUCCGGAAAACUACUUGACAAAUUGUUUAUCUUAAAUAACCUUGAUGUCAAAAUUAUGUAAUCUCAGUGAAACUGGACUGGAUUUCUCAGAAGGGCUAGGAGGAAAUAAUUCUAAAAUUAUGUCUGGAGUAUUUAAACAAUGCUCUCUCUCCAGUCAUAUCACAUAAAAAUGAACUCCCCCAAAUGGCAGUGAAAUUGUCCAGAGAAAUUGUUCCCAGAGUACUCCUGUACCUUUUUUAGAAACAGCUCCCUUGUGUAUAGCCCUCAGUCUCAGGCCCAGCUGAUGCACAACACCAAGAAACCAGAUGCAGGGGACAAGGGGAAUCCAGGGUCUUUAAUUUUGGAAACUUCGUUUGUUUUUUUUGUCAUAAUGUAUUGUUCCACUUGUAAAAUGUUAAUAAGGUCUGAAUUAAAAAUAAGCAGCCAAACUCUUCUUUUUAAUCACUUUCCUAUACCUACAACUUGCGAACCUCAUAACAUUUGUGGUGAACAUCCUUGUUGUAUCUUUCAUACUGCUCGUACGUAUUUUAUAGUGUCUCACCACCUUUGGCAUGAUCUCAAAAUGCAGUCUGUGAUGUUGCCAACCUCUUCAAUUUACUCUGUUUUCUAUUGCAUUUGGUAUUUUAAAUAAACUAUUAACGACCAA